GAAGCAGCCACCCUUUAAAGAAAGCGUAAUAGCUCACUAGUCGAGUCGGCCUGCGCGGAAGAUGUAACGGGGCUAAAACUAUGUGCCGAAGCUGCGGAUUUGACAUUAGUCAAGUGGUAGGGGAGCGUUCUGUAAGCCGAUGAAGGUGUAUUGAGAAGUAUGCUGGAGGUAUCAGAAGUGCGAAUGCUGACGUGAGUAACGACAAAACGGGUGAAAAACCCGUUCGCCGAAAGACCAAGGGUUCCAGUCCAACGUUAAUCGGGGCUGGGUGAGUCGACCCCUAAGGCGAGGCCGAAAGGCGUAGUCGAUGGGAAAAUGGUUAAUAUUCCAUUACUUCUGUGUAAUGCGAUGAGAGGACGGAGAAGGCUAAAUCAGCCUGGCGUUGGUUGUCCAGGUGAAAGGAUGUAGGCAUGUAUCUUAGGCAAAUCCGGGGUACUCUAUGCUGAGAUCUGAUAGCAAGCUGUACUUGUACAGCGAAGUGGUUGAUGCCAUGCUUCCAGGAAAAGUCUCUAAGCUUCAGUUACACAGGAAUCGUACCCGAAACCGACACAGGUGGUCAGGUCGAGUAGACCAAGGCGCUUGAGAGAACUCUGCUGAAGGAACUAGGCAAAAUGGUACCGUAACUUCGGGAGAAGGUACGCUGUUGUUGGUGAUGGAACUCGCUUCCUGAGCUGACGACAGCCGCAGAAACCAGGCCGCUGCAACUGUUUAUUAAAAACAUAGCACUCUGCAAACACGAAAGUGGACGUAUAGGGUGUGAUGCCUGCCCGGUGCUGGAAGGUUAAUUGAUGGGGUUAGCGUAAGCGAAGCUCUUGAUCGAAGCCCCAGUAAACGGCGGCCGUAACUAUAACGGUCCUAAGGUAGCGAAAUUCCUUGUCGGGUAAGUUCCGACCUGCACGAAUGGCAUAAUGAUGGCGGCGCUGUCUCCAGCAGAGGCUCAGUGAAAUCGAAAUCGCUGUGAAGAUGCAGUGUACCCGCGGCUAGACGGAAAGACCCCGUGAACCUUUACUGCAGCUUGACACUGAACUUUGACCUUACUUGUGUAGGAUAGGUGGGAGGCUUUGAAGCUGGAACGCUAGUUCCAGUGGAGCCGUCCUUGAAAUACCACCCUGGUAAUGUUGAGGUUCUAACUCUGUCCCGUGAUCCGGGACGAGGACCGUGUCUGGUGGGUAGUUUGACUGGGGCGGUCUCCUCCUAAAGAGUAACGGAGGAGUACGAAGGUGCGCUCAGCGUGGUCGGAAAUCACGCGUAGAGUAUAAAGGCAAAAGCGCGCUUAACUGCGAGACCCACAAGUCGAGCAGGUACGAAAGUAGGUCUUAGUGAUCCGGUGGUUCUGUAUGGAAGGGCCAUCGCUCAACGGAUAAAAGGUACUCUGGGGAUAACAGGCUGAUACCGCCCAAGAGUUCAUAUCGACGGCGGUGUUUGGCACCUCGAUGUCGGCUCAUCUCAUCCUGGGGCUGAAGCAGGUCCCAAGGGUAUGGCUGUUCGCCAUUUAAAGAGGUACGCGAGCUGGGUUUAGAACGUCGUGAGACAGUUCGGUCCCUAUCUACCGUGGGCGCUGGAAAUUUGAGAGGAUCUGCUCCUAGUACGAGAGGACCAGAGUGGACGAACCUCUGGUGUACCGGUUGUGACGCCAGUCGCAUCGCCGGGUAGCUAUGUUCGGAAGGGAUAACCGCUGAAAGCAUCUAAGCGGGAAGCCUACCUCAAGAUAAGAUUUCCCUAGGACUUUAUGUCCUCUAAAGAGCCGUUCGAGACUAGGACGUUGAUAGGUUGGAUGUGGAAGCAUAGUGAUAUGUGAAGCUGACCAAUACUAAUUGCUCGUGAGGCUUGACUAU
This 1835-nucleotide ribosomal RNA is filed under the name Acinetobacter baumannii. RNAcentral describes it as "partial 23S ribosomal RNA". It matches the Rfam family "Bacterial large subunit ribosomal RNA", at positions 1109 to 2925 of the family's 2925-position model. The record is from RNAcentral. Lineage: Bacteria; Pseudomonadati; Pseudomonadota; Gammaproteobacteria; Moraxellales; Moraxellaceae.